RNAcentral lists this ribosomal RNA (497 nucleotides) under uncultured bacterium. RNAcentral describes it as "partial 16S ribosomal RNA". It matches the Rfam family "Bacterial small subunit ribosomal RNA", at positions 28 to 507 of the family's 1533-position model. The record is from RNAcentral.
GAUGAACGUUGGCGGCGUGCCUAAUACAUGCAAGUCGAGCGAACGGACGAGAAGCUUGCUUCUCUGAUGUUAGCGGCGGACGGGUGAGUAACACGUGGAUAACCUACCUAUAAGACUGGGAUAACUUCGGGAAACCGGAGCUAAUACCGGAUGAUAUUUUGAACCGCAUGGUUCAAAAGUGAAAGACGGUCUUGCUGUCACUUAUAGAUGGAUCCGCGCUGCAUUAGCUAGUUGGUAAGGUAACGGCUUACCAAGGCAACGAUGCAUAGCCGACCUGAGAGGGUGAUCGGCCACACUGGAACUGAGACACGGUCCAGGCUCCUACGGGAGGCAGCAGUAGGGAAUCUUCCGCAAUGGGCGAAAGCCUGACGGAGCAACGCCGCGUGAGUGAUGAAGGUCUUCGGAUCGUAAAACUCUGUUAUUAGGGAAGAACAUAUGUGUAAGUAACUGUGCACAUCUUGACGGUACCUAAUCAGAAAGCCACGGCUAACUACGUG